UUAUGAUUGGAAAUGCCAUUUUGUUCCCGCCUCCCAUCAAAAAGCUUCUAGAUUCUUAUUUUGAAGGGUAUAACCUGGAGCUCAGCAUUUUGGCAUUAAAAGUAACUUCAUGCCACUUUUUUUUUUUUUAAUCGAUGGAAAAAAAAUGUUACCGCCUUGAUUCAGUGAUAAGGUUGGCUGUGAUUCGCAUAUAUUGCUUAAAAGACGGCGGAACGGCUGUAAACUGUUGACCUCGCAGUUCUGAGGUCCCGGGUUCAAUCCCGCACCCGCCUUUGUGGAAUUUCCAUGUUCUCCCCUUGCCUGUGUGGGUUUUUUCCCAGGCACUCUGGUUUCCUCCCACAUCCCAAAAACCUGGAACAUUAAUUGGACGUGAAAUUCCCCUUAGGUGUGAUUGUGAGAGUGGCUCUUUGUCUCUAUGUGCCUUGCGAUUGGCUGGCAACCAGUUCAGAGUGUACCCUGCCUCCUGCCUGUUGACAGCUGGGAUAGACUCCAGCACUCUCUGCGACCCUCGCGAGGAUAUUCGAAGUGUGUAUACAUUUUUUGGGGGAGACGCUGUAUUUUUAAAACUGAUGCUCCAGUUAAUGUUUUCUUUCCAAAAGUGCUCAGCUGAGGUGAAUGAAGGUGAUUGAUGAAAUGACAACCAUCACUAAUUAGGACACAGGUGUUGGUCAUUUGUCCUCCACUGUGAUUGGUCCUCAGAUCUCCUCAGUCUGGUUAAAGUCCGUAUGGGUGUUGUGUGACGUGUGCUGUUUCCAGUUCUUCAUUCUCAUCAUGGAGACUAACCUAGUUGCAGUUCUGCUGUGGUGUGCCGCAGCGCUUUCAGGUUUACUCGCGGCGCCAUCUUGGCUGGCAGUCACCUGUGACAACGGAAAAACGUGAUGGCGGCAUCCGACACAUCAAUGGAAAGCACAAGCAUGGAUUCAGUUUCAAGCUGCAGGAGGUCCAGAGCAGCAAAUAUUAACAGGUAUCGGGAGGUUGCCACAUAGAUGUGAAUGUGAAGCUCAUGCAGACCAAAUGUCACUUCACCAACCUCAAACCUGAUGACCAAUGCGAGCUGUAGCGCCGGGAUGAAUGGGGUGCAGUUGCCACCUACAGCAUUGAAUUCUGGGUGAUGUGUGACCAGAACUUACCAAUGAGGAGCUGGAGACCAUUUGUCCAUAUUGCCCCAAGUUGUUGCUUCUGGAUGAACCAACAACUGUGAAGGCUGUGCAUCACUGUGCUCAAGUGAAACCGGGAGAGUCAACACCUGAACUACUUCACCCUGAUGGAAGUGGCUCAUGUGACAAUGGGGGGUAAUUUUCUUUUCUCUUCUCCACCCAGUUUCACUUACUUGAUCACAUUUUUUUUUUUUUUUUUUUUUUAAUGCUUCCUGUCUCAGUCUGUUCCAUCCAUUGUCAGUUACUUUGCUCAAGUUUGCCCUGGUUGAGGCACCAGGAAUACUUUUGUGCCCUACAUGCCUCUCUGUCCGGACAGAGCUGUGAGUUGACUUUCAUGCUAAUGGCUAGUCGUAGAUGAACCCAUCUAAAUAUAAAAUGGCUCUGGGUACAUGUGACUUUUCUAUUCAAGUAUCACGCCUCAAACCUCUUAUUACAACUUGCACAGACAAGUGGGAAAACGAGUGAAUUCUAUCCUCCAAAAUAUCCAGGCCCCUACCCGACUGUGCCAGAACCUGUAUGCAGGCCGUUGUUCCACCAAAGUCCAGAAGCUUGUGUGUGCAAAGCACGGCUGAACAACCCAGAUCAUGCGAUCCACCACAUUUGACCAUUCCCGCUGAAGUGAUAUUGCUUGUGAACUACUUUAAUUAAAACAAAAGUACCUUGCUUUCCCUUA
Molecule: long non-coding RNA, 1830 nt
Organism: Syngnathoides biaculeatus (alligator pipefish)
Lineage: Eukaryota; Metazoa; Chordata; Actinopteri; Syngnathiformes; Syngnathidae
Exons: 5
Source: RefSeq, a predicted model, not a curated record